RNAcentral lists this ribosomal RNA (1372 nucleotides) under uncultured bacterium. RNAcentral's name for it is "bacterial SSU rRNA". It matches the Rfam family "Bacterial small subunit ribosomal RNA", at positions 28 to 1381 of the family's 1533-position model. The record is from RNAcentral.
GAUGAACGCUGGCGGCGUGCCUAAUACAUGCAAGUCGAGCGAACGGACGAGAAGCUUGCUUCUCUGAUGUUAGCGGCGGACGGGUGAGUAACACGUGGAUAACCUACCUAUAAGACUGGGAUAACUUCGGAAAACCGGAGCUAAUACCGGAUAAUAUUUUGAACCGCAUGGUUCAAAAGUGAAAGACGGUCUUGCUGUCACUUAUAGAUGGAUCCGCGCUGCAUUAGCUAGUUGGUAAGGUAACGGCUUACCAAGGCAACGAUGCAUAGCCGACCUGAGAGGGUGAUCGGCCACACUGGAACUGAGACACGGUCCAGACUCCUACGGGAGGCAGCAGUAGGGAAUCUUCCGCAAUGGGCGAAAGCCUGACGGAGCAACGCCGCGUGAGUGAUGAAGGUCUUCGGAUCGUAAAACUCUGUUAUUAGGGAAGAACAUAUGUGUAAGUAACUGUGCACAUCUUGACGGUACCUAAUCAGAAAGCCACGGCUAACUACGUGCCAGCAGCCGCGGUAAUACGUAGGUGGCAAGCGUUAUCCGGAAUUAUUGGGCGUAAAGCGCGCGUAGGCGGUUUUUUAAGUCUGAUGUGAAAGCCCACGGCUCAACCGUGGAGGGUCAUUGGAAACUGGAAAACUUGAGUGCAGAAGAGGAAAGUGGAAUUCCAUGUGUAGCGGUGAAAUGCGCAGAGAUAUGGAGGAACACCAGUGGCGAAGGCGACUUUCUGGUCUGUAACUGACGCUGAUGUGCGAAAGCGUGGGGAUCAAACAGGAUUAGAUACCCUGGUAGUCCACGCCGUAAACGAUGAGUGCUAAGUGUUAGGGGGUUUCCGCCCCUUAGUGCUGCAGCUAACGCAUUAAGCACUCCGCCUGGGGAGUACGACCGCAAGGUUGAAACUCAAAGGAAUUGACGGGGACCCGCACAAGCGGUGGAGCAUGUGGUUUAAUUCGAAGCAACGCGAAGAACCUUACCAAAUCUUGACAUCCUUUGACAACUCUAGAGAUAGAGCUUUCCCCUUCGGGGGACAAAGUGACAGGUGGUGCAUGGUUGUCGUCAGCUCGUGUCGUGAGAUGUUGGGUUAAGUCCCGCAACGAGCGCAACCCUUAAGCUUAGUUGCCAUCAUUAAGUUGGGCACUCUAAGUUGACUGCCGGUGACAAACCGGAGGAAGGUGGGGAUGACGUCAAAUCAUCAUGCCCCUUAUGAUUUGGGCUACACACGUGCUACAAUGGACAAUACAAAGGGCAGCGAAACCGUGAGGUCAAGCAAAUCCCAUAAAUUUGUUCUCAGUUCGGAUUGUAGUCUGCAACUCGACUACAUGAAGCUGGAAUCGCUAGUAAUCGUAGAUCAGCAUGCUACGGUGAAUACGUUCCCGGGUCU